CCAAUAGCGUAUAUUAAAGUUGUUGCAGUUAAAAAGCUCGUAGUUGAAUUUCGGGAUCAAUACGUCGGUCGUGCUUCGGUACGUACUGGCAUCAUUGAUUUCUCCCUUCUGACGAACCAUGAUGUCAUUAACUUGGUGUCUUGGGAAAUCAGGACUGUUACUUUGAAAAAAUUAGAGUGUUUAAAGCAGGCUCACGCUGGAAUACAUUAGCAUGGAAUAAUGAAAUAGGACGUUCGAUCCUAUUUUGUUGGUUUUUAGGAUCAACGUAAUGAUUAAUAGGGAUAGUUGGGGGCAUUAGUAUUCAAUUGUCAGAGGUGAAAUUCUUGGAUUUAUUGAAGACUAACUACUGCGAAAGCAUUUGCCAAGGAUGUUUUCAUUAAUCAAGAACGAAAGUUAGGGGAUCGAAGACGAUCAGAUACCGUCGUAGUCUUAACCAUAAACUAUGCCGACUAGGGAUCGGAUGAUGUUAAUUUUUUAAUGACUCAUUCGGCGCCUUACG
This 499-nucleotide ribosomal RNA is filed under the name uncultured Glomeromycotina. RNAcentral's name for it is "partial small subunit ribosomal RNA". It matches the Rfam family "Eukaryotic small subunit ribosomal RNA", at positions 591 to 1092 of the family's 1831-position model. The record is from RNAcentral. Lineage: Eukaryota; Fungi; Glomeromycota.